Molecule: transfer RNA, 73 nt
Filed under: Ferruginibacter sp.
Lineage: Bacteria; Pseudomonadati; Bacteroidota; Chitinophagia; Chitinophagales; Chitinophagaceae
Description: tRNA-Leu
Rfam family: tRNA
About the family: Transfer RNA (tRNA) molecules are approximately 80 nucleotides in length. Their secondary structure includes four short double-helical elements and three loops (D, anti-codon, and T loops).
Source: RNAcentral
UGGUCUAUAGCCCAACGGCAGAGGCGAUAGUUUUAGAAACUAUGUAGUGUGAGUUCGAAUCUCACUAGACCAA